CCUACGGGUGGCAGCAGUGGGGAAUAUUGGACAAUGGGGGCAACCCUGAUCCAGCAAUGCCGCGUGUGUGAAGAAGGCCUGCGGGUUGUAAAGCACUUUCAGUAGGGAAGAAAAGCUCGGAGUUAAUACCUCCGGGUCUUGACGUUACCUAAAGAAGAAGCACCGGCUAACUCCGUGCCAGCAGCCGCGGUAAUACGGAGGGUGCAAGCGUUGAUCGGAGUUACUGGGCGUGAUCCGCACGGUCGGAGGUGAAAGCCCUGGGCUUAACCUGGGAACUGCAUUCGAUACUGUCUGGCUAGAGUAUGGGAGAGGGAAGCGGAAUUUCCGGUGUAGCGGUGAAAUGCGUAGAUAUCGGAAGGAACAUCAAUGGCGAAGGCAGCUUCCUGGCCCAAUACUGACGCUCAGGUGCGAAAGCGUGGGGAUCAAACAGGAUUAGAUACCCUAGUAGUC
Molecule: ribosomal RNA, 450 nt
Filed under: uncultured bacterium
Lineage: Bacteria
Description: partial 16S ribosomal RNA
Rfam family: Bacterial small subunit ribosomal RNA
Source: RNAcentral